UGUUAUGGCGGCUGUACGCGGGGCACUUCGGUGCGCCGGGAUGCUCCUCAACCGGUCUGCUAACCCGCGUACAGCUGCCACCCUU
RNAcentral lists this non-coding RNA (85 nucleotides) under Pseudomonas sp. ok272. The record is from RNAcentral. Lineage: Bacteria; Pseudomonadati; Pseudomonadota; Gammaproteobacteria; Pseudomonadales; Pseudomonadaceae. RNAcentral also lists the same sequence under 1 other name.